UUUGGCUGGUACGGUUCCGUUCUGUUCCGCCUUGGCGCCCUUGGCCGCGGGGGCAAUGUUUUUGUUUUCGUUCUACGUUCAGGUGUUGGGUGGCGACGUAUUAACCGUCGAUAACCAGCUGAAGCAGCUCAAGUUCUCUAGUGGAACGAGGUUGACCGUGCGCAGUGGCAGCCGUUGACAACAAAAACAAUGUAUGCACUCAGCUUCGCCGGAUGAGUGCCGGCGUCGAUCGCGAACCGCCAGAGCCGCCAAAUACCUCUCGUACAUCUCCAAGAACACCAAGAACAGGAGGUAUUCAUAAAGGUCUGAACCACGCGAGGAUCGUCUCGAAGCAUGGUAGCCUCAACAGACGCUUGCCGCCACACGCGAGGAGAAAGCAGGAGGCCCGAAGUUUGAAUGUGAAGAGGAGGUGCGAAGAGCUGGCCCUCACUUUUUCAAGGCAGCCGCAGAACACUACGAGCCCCGAAUCACUGCCGCGGCUGACUCACGCGGAUGCUGUGCUGCACCCUGCACUGCACAUGGUUCGAAGCACACUUCAGGGGACCAGUGCAUGCCCCUGAUGCAUCGUCGCGGUAUGUUUUGUACUGCUUUUCCUAGCGGUGCACUGAGCAGUCCAAUCUUGAAGGGAGCACGCGAGUGCGUAGCCAGUGCUCCAUGCAGCAAGGACCGCAAGCACUCGCGGAAGCUUGGAGCACACGCAGUGACGCCAGCAGCCGUGCACGCUGGCGUCGUCUGCUACUGUACCGUCCUUUCGUUCGGUGCGCAGAAAAAAAAAGGAGUGACCGCUCUGUUAAAAGUCUGAUGGUGAAGGCAUCCUUUACAGAAGCACUGUAUGGCUCUCUGCACGCUAGAAUGGGGGCUGUCGUUGAUGCUCGCAGAGGCGUCGCCCACAACUAAGCAGACGAUCAAAGUCCUGAGCAGGUGACUAAUCGUUUCAUUGUUCUUUGGUAGGGAAAGGUAGAUAAUGUGCUUCU
Molecule: unclassified non-coding RNA, 974 nt
Filed under: Ixodes scapularis (black-legged tick)
Lineage: Eukaryota; Metazoa; Arthropoda; Arachnida; Ixodida; Ixodidae
Description: uncharacterized LOC121838420, transcript variant X2
Source: RNAcentral